Long non-coding RNA from Cyprinodon variegatus (sheepshead minnow), 378 nucleotides. RefSeq lists it as uncharacterized. NCBI's taxonomy places the organism in Eukaryota, Metazoa, Chordata, Actinopteri, Cyprinodontiformes, Cyprinodontidae. The transcript is spliced from 3 exons. The record is from RefSeq and is a predicted model, not a curated record.
GGCCUUUCUCAGGAAGAUGGCCUUUUGACCCAGAAUCCCGGGGAUCAGGAGGAGGACUCGUCUCCAAAACCAGAAGUGGGUCUCUCUGGAGAUGCUGAGCCGGCCUGUGAAGGCUAUGAAGGGAAGGGCUGUACCAAGGAGUAUGAUCCAGUCUGUGGAAGUAAUGGAAAGACGUAUGGGACAACAUGUCUUCUCUGCCAAGAGAACCAACGAGAGAAGAAAAAUGUGAGAGUGGCUGGCAAAGGGCCGUGUCGUCAAUGAGUCACAAAAAAAAAGACGAGGAAAAAUGUUCCUUAGAGUCACAGAUUGACCUCUGAUAAACCGUCUCAAUAAAACUAUUCUCUGCAGCUUAUUGUUUAACAAUCCACAGACUUUGUU